RNAcentral lists this long non-coding RNA (6426 nucleotides) under Sus scrofa (pig). RNAcentral's name for it is "lncRNA (ENSSSCG00035059331.1)". Lineage: Eukaryota; Metazoa; Chordata; Mammalia; Artiodactyla; Suidae. The record is from RNAcentral.
AUCCCAGGCCUCACUCAGUGGGUUAAGGAUCCGGUGUUGCCGUGAGCUGUGGUGUAGGUCACAGCUGCGGCUCAGAUCCCUCACUUUACUGUGGCUGUGGUGUAGGCCGGCGGCUACAGCUCCGAUUAGACCCCUAGCCUGGGAACUUCCAUAUGCUGCAGCUGCAGCCCUAAAAAGACUAAAUAAAAAAAUAAGUAAAUAAAGCAUUUGUUGGUACCGGCAAUCGUUUCAUUUAUUUGUUUAGUAUCUGUCUCACCUGAACCUCCGUGAGGACCAGGGCAUCCUCUCUCCUGGAGGCCUGGCACUUUGUGGAGCGAGUGACUGCUCUCACCGGUGGCCCUCCGUGGCCCUCCCCAUCUUCUGGUGAUGGCAGCAGCACCCCCACCCACCUCUUCCAGCUGACUGACGCCCAGGCUGCCCAGGGCUCCCCAGGAAACCCAGUGGGGACAGAGGGGAGAGGCCUGAACUCACCCCCAGAAAGCCUAGGAGGUCACAGGAGAUGACAGCUUUUUUCCUUGUUAUCACCUCAUUAUGUGUCAGGCCUUGGCCUCCUGCCAGAAAUAACAAGAUGAAAAAGUCUAUCACAUCAGCUUCUUUUAGUCCUCGUCUCUCUGUGAUUCCUCAAUUGAUGAUUAUUUAUUUUCUAUAAUAAUCUUGUUAAUUUUGGGGGAGAAUCAUCUUCUGUGUUUAUGAGCGGAAAUGCCAGGAGCAGGUGAAUACCGUUAGAGAAAGCCACGCAGGCCUGGGCCAGCUGCUGUGGAGGUGGAUUGUGGUGAGGAGGUGCCCUUUGGGGGAUGCGCUAGAGCAUCCAGUUCUUUUUGGAAAGAAGUUCUUCCGUGGAGAGGAGCGGGGAGCUCGGGGGCGGCCCCAAGCAGCUGAGUUCCAUCCGGCUUCUCACAGAAUUACCAUCACCAGUGUCAUCGCCCCACCACCAUCGCCACCUGUGUUUACCAAAAGGGUCUGCUCCACACCAGGUCCUCUAUGAAAGUGCCCUGCCCACAAGACCUUCUAGAAAUAGCACUCCGCGGCCAAAAUGCUUUUGUCAGACUGCGAUAAACCAGCACAAGUUAUGAAAAUAUAGGUGCCGACAGAGCCCAUGGGUGACCCGCCACACAGACAGCCAAUAGCCAAGAACCUUAGUGACAAAUGCUAAGACUUCCACGGCAGCUGGGGCAGCGUCUGCAUCUGACCGGAAGUUGCGGCUCUAGACUGCAUGGGGCUUGGGAGCCUCAGCUUCUCCCUGCAGAGCUGGGGAGCAGCCCGGAUGCCUCUGCUCCAGGCUGGGCCGAGGCUCGAGGGCAGUGGCUGCUCCCAGGUGGCUUUUUCUCACAGUGAUGGUAAAAGUGCAAGAAAUCAAGUGAGAAUAGGCGAGCCCGCCAGGAACCAUCACCUCAUUCCCCCAGGUGCCUCCCAGCUGAAGCGAGUCUCGAGUCUUGAGUCUCAUUGGGCAAGCCCAGAGCCCCAGAGGCAGGGACGCCUGGCUCAUUGUCACAUCAUUGAGGACACAUGGUGGUUUGUGACACAAUAAGUGUGGCAAUGAAACCUGACUCUGUCUCUCCCCCUCCAGGGGGUGGCACCCCCCACCUGCUGUGAAGCCAGGUCAGGGUGAGGGUGUGGUGAGGAGCAGGGGCCAGGAGGGAGAGGGGCCAGAAGGGGUGGACAGCAGGGGCCCCAGGCAGCCAGAUGGGGCAGCCACAUGCCACAGCCCUGUCCCUAAGGGCUCAAUUUCUGUUUCUGUUGACUGCCAGCUUUGUGACCUUGGACGAGCCACUUAACCUCUCCAAGCUUCAGUGCCAAAUACUAAAAUCAGGAUAAUAACAGUCCUAGAGAAGCAGAGAAGAAUUAGCUUGAGUAAGCCCUGGCCCAUCCCAGGGCAGGGGCUCAGGAAAUGACAGUCUCGUCACCCUCUGGCUCUGCCCUGCGUGGUGGGGACUUGGGUGGGAAAGUAAGCAGCUGUGAUUCUCACUGAAGAGAUGGUUGCAACAGAGGGUCAAGCAAAGAGCAUGUAAACGAGGAAGGGAGGGAACCGCCCAGGUAGGAGGCAAGCCCCCAACAGGGCGUGGCUUCCGGAAGGCACAGGUGUUUCGGCUUCUGGAUGGAAUCCAUGUGGUUCCUGCAGAGGGAACAGAAGGGCCCGCGGGAAGCUGGUGGAGUCGAUGGGGCCAUGUGUUCCUUCACACCACGCGUCCCAUCGGGGCUCUGGGCCUGCCUGGGCCAGAGGAAGGGAGUCUCUGAGGGUCCCUCCAUUAGGAGCCUGGAAACUGGCCCAGACUGGGUCACGUGCCUGCUCCUAGCCAAUCACCACAUGGGACGUUAGCAAGCUCCUUGGCCUUGGGCCAAUCAGGGUGUGGCCUUGGCCCCUGAGGUCCGUCUGGUCCCGGCAGCCCUUGAUACCAGACUCGGCAAGAGGGCCUGAUGCCCGAAGGCGGCGGCCCGCUGUGCCCCGGGAUGCAGGGACUGCCAGCCCCACAUAAGUCAUUCUAAAGGAUCCCAAACUGAAGAUGCCUCCCCUUCACUGGAUCUUCUCGGAGCCCAGUACUGGGCGCGGGUGAGAGUGGGCGGCAGGCGCGAGGUGGGGGUGGUUUUUUGAAGCACUGGAACAGCACAGCCCGUGCGCACACGGACACACACACACACAUACCCACACGCGCGCAUGAAAUUGGCAGGACGUAGCAGAGACUCUGACAAAUGGCGCAAACUUCCUGUGGAAGUGGCGAGGACUUCCCCACCCCCAAUCGGAGAGAACCUUGUGAAAUUCUUGCUUCGAGGUAAAUCGCUCAGACCUGUGGAAUCCUUUCGGCUGUCCUGUGUCAUUGGAGACCCUUCUGGUUUUAAUCCUGGGCCCCAGAGGCCCGGGUCCUAGUAUGAGGAACAACAUGGGAUGUUCAUCUUGAUGAAUUGUUUUACUUAGGCUGUGGCUGCAGGGACUUUGAUGAGGGCUGUCAGUUCCCACACCAGGGAUUGAACCAGGGCUGCAGUGAUGAACGUGCUGAGUCCUAACCAGGGAACUCCUGAGCCAUUUGUCUGUAGAGUUUGAUAUUCCAGUCGACUCUAAAUUGAGCCACCCGUCUCGCACCAGAUUAUGCCCUAGAACUGGUUUAAUGAUGACAUUAUUCAUUUGACAACAAGCAAUUGCAUGUUAUUUUUUGCCUUGACCUAAAGAGAUCUUCUAGCCAGAUAAGUGGUAUUUUACAUUUGGAGCAAUUAUUGCUGUAAUCACAGAGUCGUUGCCAUUAGAAAGGUGAUAUUCCGGGGAGAGUGUGGGAGGUGCCUGGACCCUGGGUUCCAGAAUCCACAGGUGUGAGCCAAAUCGGAAUUUUUAAUCAGCCCCCUCGCCUCUCUGUUGGCUUUUUGAAAGUAAAAUUAUCUUUAGGUAUCAUAUCCUCAUUUGGUUGGAGUCUUCCAAAAACUGGCUUCUGUAUAUUUAAGGCUAACUUGUCGUUUGGGUGAUUUUGAAUCUUUGGCUUAAGGAACGUAGUGGGGGAAAAAAUCACAGUGACACAUCACAGGAGCAAAAAUUGCAAUGUCUUUCUCUACAGUUAAACUUAAUUUUUAUCCUGAACCUCAUUUCUAUCUAAUGGCAGAAAACCUAGUUUAGGUAAAUUACAGAUGACACGAGGACAAUUUCAGGAUCUGGCAGCUAUUUUGUGCUUAAGAUAAGUUAAAAUCAGGAUUUUCCCCUUUCCCUUGAUGGCUGUUUGGCAGGUGGUGGCUUCCAUGGUGUGGUGGAUUGCAAGAGUCGCCCAGUUUCCCCCCUCCCUGCAUCAGAAAUGCCCUUCCCCACAGAACUGUCUGGUGCCUGGGCACACUGACUCUGGCCUUGAACGUGUGACGUGCUUUGACCAAUGAGAUCUUAGCAAAUGAGAAGCAAUUAGAGGCUCCAGAAGCACCUGUGUGAUCACACGUUCCUGACCUUUCCCUCUGCCGUUGCCAAGAGAUGGGAAUGCCACCCUGGUCUGAGGAUGCCGGGAGGAGAGUGGGCACGUGGCAGAGCACGUGGCAGGUGAGCUGGAGCCCGCAGCCCCUGGGGCUGCCCACCACCCAGGCCUAUUCUGUAGCGUUUUAGUGGCAGCAGUGAAGGGUGACAGGGGGGAUUAGGGCAGGUGUCUGCCUCACUUGCAGUAGCAUUUGCGGAGGCGUGAGGUCUUCCUCUCAGCUUUCACCACCCACAUCCUUUCCUACGAGGUGCACUGGCCAGAACUAUCCAUGCUUGGUGGGCACCAAGGCAGCCACGGUUCCAAACGGCCCCAGGCUUGUGGGGGUCACCGCGACACCCUCUGAGCUCUCGCUCUGUCCCUUCUCAGGGCACCAGGAAGGGGGCCGCCCUCCACCACCUCCUUGGGGCUGGGAGGGACACAGGACUGUCCCCCCACCUGUUCUUGCUCGGCCCCCAGGGAAACACCUGGGCUCUCCUUCCGGGUCCUCGGCCGGACGGGCUGGGCCUGGAGCAGAGCCUCUGUCCUCGGGUUCCAAGCUCCUCUCUUAGUGAGCCGGCCUCCCCCACCCCUCCCGCUCCCUUUGAGAAGCCUCUGCGUCUCCUACUCAGGCCUGUCGCCCGUCCCUUCUGUCCUCCCUGGACAUCAGUCCCUGUCCCAGGGCAGUGCCACACCUCAGCCCUCCCCCGCCUGGGCCGUCCCCGCCCUGGGGGGUGUGGCGCCCACACUUCUGACCGGGGCCCUUCAGAGCUUAGUCCGUUGACUGCUCAGCACUUGCCUUCGAGACGGUUGUCUCUGUAUGGAAAGGAAUCGAUUUUUAAUCUUAGCCAAGAACUCGCCCCCCCCCCGCCCCCCGCCCCGUGUCUCCAGGUUCUUUCUGUUUUCUGGGCAUGGUCUGCACCGCUGAGCUCAUCGGAAGAGGGUCCGAACUGGGUCACAACAAGGAAACAUGUGAAAAAAGCCAACGUUUACCCUGACACAAGAAUACCAUUACACUGAGUCUCUUUGAUUUGAGGUGAUUAACCAACCAGACUUUGGGGGAAAGUCGAUGAAAUUAGAUUAUGUGGGGAGCAAGGAAAAGUCAUGGGCUAAGGGCCAGCGCGGAGUCGCUUAGCCUCUCGUGGCCUCAACUUUGUCACCUGGAACACGGGUUGGACCAGGUGAUUGUUCUGGACUGUUCCAGCUCGCAGUCCCGUGAUGCUAGGAUUCAGGCCAAGAACCACGAAGACUGGAACGAACCCAGCUUUCCAAUCGUGCUGAACGGACCCCCCCCCCUUCUUUAAACUGACGGUCUUCUCUUCAGCUUCUAAUUCGGAUCAUUUCUGUAAUUGUUCCAUGAAUUAAGUUGACAAGGGUCCUGGGGUGACAGCUCGACCCCAAGUCAACAUCCGAGUGUGACAGGAAAGCAAUCAUGGGCUUUGAAGUUAGACCAGGGUUAUUGUCUGGAGGUUUCAACUGAAAAUAACUAAUCAAUUCUUGAGUGAUAGUGGCUUUGGCCACAUGGACAUUUGCUGCUCACUCAACAAGAAGUCUGGAGGGGAGUUCUCAUGGUGGCGCAGCAGAAACAAAUCCGACUAGGAACCAUGAGGUUGCGGGUUCGAUCCCUGGCCUUGCUCAGUGGUUUAAGGAUCCGGCGUUGCCAGAGCUAUGGUGUGGGUCACAGACACGGCUUAGAUUUGGUGUUGCUGUGGCUCUGGUGUAAGCCAGUGGCUACAGCUCUGAUUCAACCCCUAGCCUGGGAACCUCCAUAUGCUGUGGGUGUGGCCCUAAAAGGACAAGGGAAAAAAAAAAGUCUGGAGGUAGGAGGUCCUGAGGUUGGUUUGACAGCCCACCAUGUCCUCCUGGCCCUGAGCACCUGCCAGGCUUCCACUGCAAAUUCAGCUGGUUGGCUUCAUUCUUAUUACCUCAUGGAUCCAAAAAGGCUGCCCCAGGCACACAGCUUACCAUCCCACAGCUAGUCCACAGGCAGGAAGGAAAGGCAGAGUGUACAAAGGGGAUUGUCCUUGAACUGUCCUCCCCUUUCUAUCAGGGAGAAAGUCUUCCAGAAGCUCCUGCUCCCCCAUCUCAUUUGCCAGAAUGCUUACCCCCUACCAACAGUGUCAAAGGCAGACAGGAUUCUUGUGACCAGCCAAGGCCAGACGGAAGGCAGUCCUCUGGGGCCGGCAGGAUUGCCGUAAAAAUCAGAUGCCAUUGGCACAGAAAGAGAGGCUGGCAGCUCAUGGGAUCCACACCCCCUGUUUUCAAAUUUGGGCUUCAUUUAGGAGUUCCUGUUGUGGCUCAGUGGGUUAAGAACCCAACUUGAGUUCAAUCCCUGGUCUUGCUUAGGGGGUUAAGGAUCCAGCAUUGCCACAAGCUGCAGCAUAGAGUGCAGAUGUGGCUUGGAUCCUGUGAUGCUGUGGCUGUGGUGUAGGAUGGCAUCUGUAGCUCCAGUUCAACCCCUAGCCUGGGAACUUCCAUAUGCCACGGGUAUGGCCCUAAAAAGAAAAAAAAA